RNAcentral lists this ribosomal RNA (428 nucleotides) under uncultured Actinomycetes bacterium. Its description in RNAcentral is "bacterial SSU rRNA". The stretch from base 1 to 384 matches the Rfam family "Bacterial small subunit ribosomal RNA", at positions 140 to 540 of the family's 1533-position model. The record is from RNAcentral. Lineage: Bacteria; Bacillati; Actinomycetota; Actinomycetes.
GGGAUAACUUCAGGAAACUGGGGCUAAUACCGGAUAGGAGCUCCUGCUGCAUGGUGGGGGUUGGAAAGUUUCGGCGGUUGGGGAUGGACUCGCGGCUUAUCAGCUUGUUGGUGGGGUAGUGGCUUACCAAGGCUUUGACGGGUAGCCGGCCUGAGAGGGUGACCGGCCACAUUGGGACUGAGAUACGGCCCAGACUCCUACGGGAGGCAGCAGUGGGGAAUAUUGCACAAUGGGCGGAAGCCUGAUGCAGCAACGCCGCGUGCGGGAUGACGGCCUUCGGGUUGUAAACCGCUUUCGCCUGUGACGAAGCGUGAGUGACGGUAAUGGGUAAAGAAGCACCGGCUAACUACGUGCCAGCACCCGCGGUAAUACGAAUCACUAGUGAAUUCGCGGCCGCCUGCAGGUCGACCAUAUGGGAGAGCCCCCAA